RNAcentral lists this transfer RNA (65 nucleotides) under Symploce maxima. RNAcentral describes it as "tRNA-Asp". Lineage: Eukaryota; Metazoa; Arthropoda; Insecta; Blattodea; Blattellidae. The record is from RNAcentral.
GAAGAAUUAGUUAAAUAAUAACAUUAGAUUGUCAGACUAAAAUUAUCAAAAUUUGAUAUCCUUCU